GUGAGGAAUUUUCCGCAAUGGGCGAAAGCCUGACGGAGCAAUGCCGCGUGAAGGAUGAAGGCCUAUGGGUUGUAAACUUCUUUUCUCAGAAAAGAAUUAUGACGGUAUCUGAGGAAUAAGCAUCGGCUAACUCUGUGCCAGCAGCCGCGGUAAGACAGAGGAUGCAAGCGCUAUCCGGAAUGAUUGGGCGUAAAGCGUCUGUAGGUUGUUUAAAAAGUAUUCUGUCAAAGAUUAGGGCUUAACCCUAGAUAGGCAGAAUAAACUUUUAAGCUAGAGUUUGGUAGAGGCAGAGGGAAUUCCCGGUGGAGCGGUGAAAUGCGUAGAUAUCGGGAGGAACACCAAAGGCGAAGGCACUCUGCUGGGCCAAUACUAACACUGAGAGACGAAAGCGAGGGGAGCAAAUGGGAUUAGAAACCCCAGUAGUCC
This 426-nucleotide ribosomal RNA is filed under the name uncultured bacterium. RNAcentral describes it as "partial 16S ribosomal RNA". It matches the Rfam family "Bacterial small subunit ribosomal RNA", at positions 354 to 796 of the family's 1533-position model. The record is from RNAcentral.